This 273-nucleotide ribosomal RNA is filed under the name uncultured Staphylococcus sp. RNAcentral describes it as "partial 16S ribosomal RNA". It matches the Rfam family "Bacterial small subunit ribosomal RNA", at positions 89 to 355 of the family's 1533-position model. Lineage: Bacteria; Bacillati; Bacillota; Bacilli; Caryophanales; Staphylococcaceae. The record is from RNAcentral.
ACGUUAGCGGCGGACGGGUGAGUAACACGUGGGUAACCUACCUAUAAGACUGGGAUAACUUCGGGAAACCGGAGCUAAUACCGGAUAAUAUUUCGAACCGCAUGGUUCGAUAGUGAAAGAUGGUUUUGCUAUCACUUAUAGAUGGACCCGCGCCGUAUUAGCUAGUUGGUAAGGUAACGGCUUACCAAGGCGACGAUACGUAGCCGACCUGAGAGGGUGAUCGGCCACACUGGAACUGAGACACGGUCCAGACUCCUACGGGAGGCAGCAGUU